Molecule: ribosomal RNA, 582 nt
Filed under: Meyerozyma caribbica
Lineage: Eukaryota; Fungi; Ascomycota; Pichiomycetes; Serinales; Debaryomycetaceae
Description: partial large subunit ribosomal RNA
Rfam family: Eukaryotic large subunit ribosomal RNA
Source: RNAcentral
CAGGGAUUGCCUUAGUAGCGGCGAGUGAAGCGGCAAAAGCUCAAAUUUGAAAUCUGGCACCUUCGGUGUCCGAGUUGUAAUUUGAAGAUUGUAACCUUGGGGUUGGCUCUUGUCUAUGUUUCUUGGAACAGGACGUCACAGAGGGUGAGAAUCCCGUGCGAUGAGAUGCCCAAUCCUAUGUAAGGUGCUUUCGAAGAGUCGAGUUGUUUGGGAAUGCAGCUCUAAGUGGGUGGUAAAUUCCAUCUAAAGCUAAAUAUUGGCGAGAGACCGAUAGCGAACAAGUACAGUGAUGGAAAGAUGAAAAGAACUUUGAAAAGAGAGUGAAAAAGUACGUGAAAUUGUUGAAAGGGAAGGGUUUGAGAUCAGACUCGAUAUUUUGUGAGCCUUGCCUUCGUGGCGGGGUGACCCGCAGCUUAUCGGGCCAGCAUCGGUUUGGGCGGUAGGAUAAUGGCGUAGGAAUGUGACUUUGCUUCGGUGAAGUGUUAUAGCCUGCGUUGAUGCUGCCUGCCUAGACCGAGGACUGCGAUUUUAUCAAGGAUGCUGGCAUAAUGAUCCCAAACCGCCCGUCUUGAAACACGGACC